AGAGUUUGAUCCUGGCUCAGGAUGAACGCUAGCGGCAGGCCUAAUACAUGCAAGUCGAACGGUAAGGCUCCUUCGGGAGUACACGAGUGGCGCACGGGUGCGUAACGCGUAUGCAACCUACCCUUUAGUGGGGGAUAGCCUGAAGAAAUUCAGAUUAAUACCCCAUAUUAUUCAGUCAUUGCAUAUUGAUUGGAUGAAAACUCCGGUGCUAAGGGAUGGGCAUGCGUGACAUUAGCUAGUUGGUGAGGUAAAGGCUCACCAAGGCUACGAUGUCUAGCUGGUCUGAGAGGAUGAUCAGCCACACUGGCACUGAGACACGGGCCAGACUCCUACGGGAGGCAGCAGUAGGGAAUAUUGGACAAUGGGCGCAAGCCUGAUCCAGCCAUGCCGCGUGGAGGAAGACGGUCCUCUGGAUUGUAAACUUCUUUUCCUGAAGGAAUAAACCUGUUCUAUAUGAACAGCUGAAGGUACUUCAGGAAUAAGCACCGGCUAACUCCGUGCCAGCAGCCGCGGUAAUACGGAGGGUGCAAGCGUUGUCCGGAUUUAUUGGGUUUAAAGGGUGCGUAGGCGGAAUAAUAAGUCAGUGGUGAAAUCCAGCAGCUCAACUGCUGAACUGCCAUUGAUACUGGCGGACUUGAGUACGGACGAGGUAGGCGGAAUUUAUGGUGUAGCGGUGAAAUGCAUAGAUACCAUAAAGAACACCGAUAGCGUAGGCAGCUUACUAGACUGUAACUGACGCUCAGGCACGAAAGCGUGGGGAGCGAACAGGAUUAGAUACCCUGGUAGUCCACGCCCUAAACGAUGUUUACUCGAUGUUUGGACUUCGGUCUCCAAGCGAAAGCGUUAAGUGAUCCACCUGGGGAGUACGUUCGCAAGAAUGAAACUCAAAGGAAUUGACGGGGGACCGCACAAGCGGUGGAGCGUGUGGUUUAAUUCGACGAUACGCGAGGAACCUUACCUAGGCUAUAAUGUGAGUGACCGGCCCUGAAAGGGGUCUUUCCUUCGGGACACGAAACAAGGUGCUGCAUGGUUGUCGUCAGCUCGUGCCGUGAGGUGUUGGGUUAAGUCCCGCAACGAGCGCAACCCCUAUCUUUAGUUGCCAGCGAUUCGGUCGGGGACUCUAGAGAGACUGCCUGCGCAAGCAGAGAGGAAGGCGGGGACGACGUCAAAUCAUCAUGGCCUUUAUGCCUAGGGCUACACACGUGCUACAAUGGUAAGGACAAAGGGCAGCGAGCCGGCGACGGUCAGCGAAUCCCAAAAACCUUAUCUCAGUUCGGAUUGGAGUCUGCAACUCGACUCCAUGAAGCUGGAAUCGCUAGUAAUCGUAGGUCAGCAAUACUACGGUGAAUACGUUCCCGGACCUUGUACACACCGCCCGUCAAGCCAUGGGAGUUGGGUAGACCUUAAGACGGUAACCGAAAGGAGCUGUCCAAGGUAGAACCAGUGACUGGGGCUAAGUCGUAACAAGGUAGCCGUACCGGAAGGUGCGGCUGGACCAUCUCCUU
RNAcentral lists this ribosomal RNA (1505 nucleotides) under uncultured prokaryote. RNAcentral's name for it is "partial 16S ribosomal RNA". It matches the Rfam family "Bacterial small subunit ribosomal RNA". The record is from RNAcentral.